ACCAUUCUGUGAUACUGUGACUGGAGUGCUCAUACCCUCAAUUAAUCAACAACUCUGAAUGUUUAAUAAUAGUUGGAUCUAAUCUCAGUCAAGAGCCAGUUAUGAGUCACAUAUGUUUGUCACUUGUCUAACUGUAUUAGACAUGAUUUUUGUU
Oxyura jamaicensis (ruddy duck) is the source of this 154-nucleotide long non-coding RNA. RefSeq lists it as uncharacterized. The record is from RefSeq and is a predicted model, not a curated record. The transcript is spliced from 3 exons. NCBI's taxonomy places the organism in Eukaryota, Metazoa, Chordata, Aves, Anseriformes, Anatidae.